This 1433-nucleotide ribosomal RNA is filed under the name Giardia muris. Its description in RNAcentral is "Eukaryotic small subunit ribosomal RNA". It matches the Rfam family "Eukaryotic small subunit ribosomal RNA". Lineage: Eukaryota; Fornicata; Diplomonadida; Hexamitidae. The record is from Rfam by way of RNAcentral.
CAUCCGGUUGAUCCUGCCGGAGUACUACGCUACCCCCAAGGACAAAAGCCAUGCAAGCGGACACGAGGUAUGAAGUGGCGGACGGCUCGGUACAACGGUACGAGUCUGACCGGGGGUGAAGGCUAGACGGAUACCGCUGGCAACCCAGCGCCAAGACGAGUGCUCAAGAGCGGGGAAGGAAAGCACGCGAUGGAGCGAAUGCCCGGAUGAGGUUCCGAGGUAUUACCUAGUCGGUAGAGUAGUGGUCUACGGAGGGGAUGAUGCCUGGCGGAGGAUCAGGGUUUGACUCCGGAGAACGGGCCUGAGAGACGGCCCGUACAUCCAAGGACGGCAGCAGGCGCGGAACUUGCCCAAUGCGUGAAGGCGUGAGGCAGCAACGGGGGAUCCCAUGAAAUGGGAAGACUGGGGGGUAGAUGACCCCAGCACAAGUCGAGGGAAAGGUCUGGUGCCAGCAGCCGCGGUAAUUCCAGCUCGGCAGGCGUCGUACGGCGCUGUUGCAGUUAAAACGUCCGGAGUCGAGACGUCCAGCCGGGAGGAAAGAGGAGCGCUUAAGGCGGGAGUGAGUACGAGAAAGCCCGGGACGGACAUGAAGGUGAAUGGGUAAGGGCAUGUGUAUUGGUGGGGGACGGGUGAAAUAGGAUGAUCCGACCAAGACAGACAAAGGCGUAGGCACUUGCCAAGACCAUAUCAGUCGAACCAGGACGAAGCCCGGGGGCGAGAAGGCGAUUAGACACCACCGUAUUCCCGGGCGUAAACGAUGCCACCGAGAGACUGGCCAGGUCGUCAGGAUCGAAGGGAAACCGAUCAGGGUACGGGCUCUGGGGGGAGUAUGGCCGCAAGGCUGGAACUUGAAGGCAUUGACGGAGGGGUACCACCAGACGUGGAGUCUGCGGCUCAAUUUGACUCAACGCGAACACCUUACCAGGCCCAGACGUACGGAGGAUCGACGGUUGAGAGGACCUUCGUGAUCGUACGAGUGGUGGUGCAUGGCCGUUCACAGCCCGUGGCUUGAGCCGUCUGCUUGACUGCGACAACGAGCGAGACCCUAACCUGGAUGGGACCGCCAAUGGUGAAUUGGAGGAAGGUGGGGCGAUAACAGGUCUGUGAUGCCCUUAGACGCCCUGGGCUGCACGCGUACUACACUGUGGGGAUGAAACCACGUCGAGUUGUGAAGCUUGAUGAGAUCAAACCCCCACGUGGUUGGGAUCGUGGACUGGAACGUCCUCGUGAACCUGGAAUGUCUAGUAGGCGUAGGUCAUCAAUCUACGCCGGAUACGUCCCUGCCCCUUGUACACACCGCCCGUCGCUCCUACCGACUGGGUCUUCUGGCGAGCUCCUGGGAGGGAUGAACCGAACAGGGACGAACCGCGAGGCUUGGAGGAAGGAGAAGUCGUAACAAGGUAUCCGUAGGUGAACCUGCGGAUGGAUCCAUC